CCCUUAGAUGUCCUGGGCCGCACGCGCGCUACACUGACAUGUUCAACAAGCUUCCUAGUUCGACAGGAUUUGGGAAAUCUUUGAACGCAUGUCGUGAUAGGGAUAGAUCAUUGCAAUUAUUGAUCUUGAACGAGGAAUUCCUAGUAAACGCGAGUCAUCAGCUCGCAUUGAUUACGUCCCUGCCCUUUGUACACACCGCCCGUCGCUCCUACCGAUUGAGUGGUCCGGUGAGGCUUUGGGAUCUGAGCGGAAAGAGCGUUUCGCUGUUUCUGCCCGGAAAACUCAGUCGAACCUUAUCAUUUAGAGGAAGGAGGAGUCGUAACA
RNAcentral lists this ribosomal RNA (324 nucleotides) under uncultured eukaryote. RNAcentral's name for it is "partial 18S ribosomal RNA". It matches the Rfam family "Eukaryotic small subunit ribosomal RNA", at positions 1470 to 1796 of the family's 1831-position model. The record is from RNAcentral.